This 222-nucleotide ribosomal RNA is filed under the name uncultured Peptoniphilus sp. RNAcentral's name for it is "partial 16S ribosomal RNA". It matches the Rfam family "Bacterial small subunit ribosomal RNA", at positions 137 to 355 of the family's 1533-position model. The record is from RNAcentral. Lineage: Bacteria; Bacillati; Bacillota; Tissierellia; Tissierellales; Peptoniphilaceae.
ACAGGGAUAGCCUCGGGAAACCGGGAUUAAAACCUGAUGAAACUAAUCAAAUCACAUGAUUAAGAAAGUUAAAACUCCGGUGGUAAAAGAUGGACUCGCGUCCCAUUAGCUAGUUGGUGAAGGUAACGGCCCACCAAGGCAACGAUGGGUAGCCGGCCUGAGAGGGUGAACGGCCACAUUGGAACUGAGACACGGCCCAGACUCCUACGGGAGGCAGCAGCA